UGGCAACCAGUUAAGUUAACCAGGUUCCUUUACUUGCAGAGGCCUGCUCUGAGAUGGCGAGGAAACCCUCCUCCUUGGAAGUGUAGCAGCCUAUUCCCUAUAUGGACUGCCGGAAGGAAUCCUGGAGACAGUG
Small nucleolar RNA from Arvicola amphibius (Eurasian water vole), 133 nucleotides. RefSeq annotates it as small nucleolar RNA SNORA70. The transcript has a single exon. The record is from RefSeq and is a predicted model, not a curated record. Lineage: Eukaryota; Metazoa; Chordata; Mammalia; Rodentia; Cricetidae.